RNAcentral lists this long non-coding RNA (324 nucleotides) under Phaseolus vulgaris (common bean). RNAcentral describes it as "long non-coding RNA (PVUL_LNC003185)". Lineage: Eukaryota; Viridiplantae; Streptophyta; Magnoliopsida; Fabales; Fabaceae. The record is from RNAcentral.
UAUUUUUAUUUUUAAAAAGUUUGCACAUCGAUUUUUAUAAUUGGUUGUUUUAUCGGAACAUUUAUUAUUCUUUUUUCUGAUCCGUGCAGUGAGAGAAUGAAAGACGACAAAAGGAAGUGAGAAAAUGAAAGACGACAAAAGAAAGUGCAGAGUGCAGAGAGUCAUUCAUUCAAUUUAUCUUCUCUUUUGACGUCAAACUCCAACUUUUGUUUUCCACUGUUAAGUCACAUCACAUCCAUCUGUUUUGCUUCCGACUUUGCAGUUCCAUGUCACGAGCUUCUUUCAUUUUUCAUAAAUUAAUACAAAUAUUUUUUAUUUACAAAA